Molecule: ribosomal RNA, 254 nt
Filed under: uncultured bacterium
Lineage: Bacteria
Description: partial 16S ribosomal RNA
Rfam family: Bacterial small subunit ribosomal RNA
Source: RNAcentral
UACGUAGGGGGCAAGCGUUGUCCGGAUUUAUUGGGCGUAAAGAGCUCGUAGGUGGUUCGGUAAGUCGGAUGUGAAAUCUCCAGGCUCAACCUGGAGGGGUCAUUCGAUACUGCCGUGACUAGAGUUCGGUAGGGGAGUGUGGAAUUCCUGGUGGAGCGGUGAAAUGCGCAGAUAUCAGGAGGAACACCGGUGGCGAAGGCGGAUCUCUGGACCUUACCUGACGCUCAGGUGCGAAAGCUAGGGGAGCGAACAGG